RNAcentral lists this small nucleolar RNA (91 nucleotides) under Ipomoea nil (Japanese morning glory). Its description in RNAcentral is "small nucleolar RNA snoR114". It matches the Rfam family "small nucleolar RNA snoR114". The record is from Rfam by way of RNAcentral. Lineage: Eukaryota; Viridiplantae; Streptophyta; Magnoliopsida; Solanales; Convolvulaceae.
GAGCUAUGACGAAAGCUGCGCUCUUGUGGUGGUUAUUGGGUCGCCACGUGUGCCUGAUAUUGAUCGGACGACAAAUCGUGCAUCUGAGCUC